GGGCUUCAAAUCCGCCGUCCGCCUUACCUUCUAAACCCAACCGGUCGGCCCGUACAUGCCGAAGAUCCAAAGGACUGGCGGCACCCAGCGCCACGGCCAGCCGUGAACGGCAGAUAAAAGCUUCCGCAUAGAAACAGCCUACACUCGUAGGCAAGAUAGAUCUGUCCAAGAUCACACCACCUCCUUAAUUUUUUCAAAAAAUAAAUGAAAAUCUCUGUCCUUCUCUCUCUCUGUCCUUCUCUCUCUUUGGUUCCUUCUCACCCUCUGUCAUGGCGAAGCCUCGGCCGGCGAAGCGAACCCUAGACUCCUAUACGAUCAAGGGAUCCAACAAAAUUAUCAAACCGGGGGACUGCGUGCUGAUGCGGCCGCCGGAGUCAUCAAAGCUGCCGUACGUGGCGAGAGUGGAGAGCAUCGAGGCGGGGGCGCGGGGGUCCAACGUGAAGGUGAGGGUGCGGUGGUACUACCGGCCGGAGGAGUCGAUCGGGGGGCGGCGCCAGUUCCACGGGGCCAAGGAGGUGUUCCUCUCCGACCACUACGACAUCCAGAGCGCCGACACAAUCGAGGGCAAGUGCUUCGUUCACAGCUUCAAGAACUACACCAAGCUCGAUGCUGUCGGCAGCGAUGAUUACUUCUGCCGGUUCGAGUAUAAGUCCGCUACUGGUAGUUUUAUUCCUGACAGAAUCGCUGUUUUUUGCAAGUGUGAGAUGCCUUACAACCCUGAUGACCUUAUGAUCCAGUGUGAGGGCUGCUCUGACUGCUCGAAGGUUUGCAAUCUUAGACAGCAUCAUGCAGUAUGGGGCAUACCAUAUUGUAUCCGCAGGGUACCAAGACUCAAUAUGUCCUCCUUAUCGAGUAUUGUUGUUGAGCUAUGUGCCAUAGCAUAUCCGGCACUUGAGGAGGUCAGUCUUUCAUGUUGGAAGCUAUUGCUACCAACACUUGGUGCGGGGUGUAUUGGAGGGGUACUAGUUGGGGUCUAUUAUCGAGAUUGCAAACCUUGCAUUGCUCUGGUACCAUCCUGCUUGUAUAGAUAUGACUGUUGAGGAAGCUAAGAAGCUUGAACACUUUUUCUGUCAAGGUUGCUCCUCUCAAAAUGAAAAGAAGACAGAAAAUUCUAGUGCUUCAAGAGAAUCAGAAUCAAAGGCUGAGCAAAGUGAACCUGUUAUCGUUUGCAGGUUGAAUCCAAAAGGCUCGAAUCCAAAAGGCGGAGAAGGUGAAUGCCACAGAUGCACGUAUGUCUUAUCCAGGGGAUUGUAUAGAGCGGUCUUCCAGUUUCAGGUAGGUGUAAAUGUUCAGAUGACUGUCUGCAUUCUAGAGGUCACAUGGGGCUCUUGCCAGGCUUUGUACAGGGCAUGUAGUAUUUCGUAUCCUUCAGCUGUGGAAGAUCGAAGGGAGCUUCCAAUUUGUGUAUAUAUUUAUUGGGGUUUGUGUGAUGUCCUUGUACGGUUCUCCUUUUGGUAUUUGAAUCUGUAAUUUUAAGUUUGAGGGGUGGUGUCUUGAGAUGUAACGAGCCAAUAAAUAUUUUAGUAAAAGCUAGCUUUAUUGAUAGUGUCA
Molecule: non-coding RNA, 1551 nt
Organism: Elaeis guineensis (African oil palm)
Lineage: Eukaryota; Viridiplantae; Streptophyta; Magnoliopsida; Arecales; Arecaceae
Source: RefSeq, a predicted model, not a curated record